AGGAAAAAGAAACCCACGCUUUCUCCUAAAGCCGAGAACUUCCCAGUCUGUGGCCGAAUCCUGUGAUCAUCCUCUGCCUUGAAAUCCCGAGGAUCUUGGACUUUUCUUACCCACGAGGUCGAGCCCCGUCGUCCCGGGAGAUGGUCUGCGAGAAGGUUCCUGGGCCCGAGCAGGAAUGGAGCUCGACUUGGAAGCCACGCGUGGGAGCAGUGACUUUGAUGUCCCCGGGGCUGCUGUAAACUCGUGCGUAUGGACUGAUGUGUGUGGGAUGCAGAUGCAGCCAGUUUAUCACGCAGGAAGAGUUCGGGCAGCUUCAAUGUUCCCGUAGCCCCCUGUAUCGAAUGUCCUUCCUUCUCUCCCCUGCCCCCUUCCCCAACCUCUCUUCCCUUCACCUCCCCGAGUCAGAGCGUUUUCCGUGACAAAGUUGACGGAUGGAUGCGGGGCAGCUGUGUGCCCUGAUGUCCACGAUCCCGAUCGCCCCAGAGAUUUCCUUCAUCCUUCCAGAAAGGACUUCCUCCCCCCGCCCUUUUCCUCUCCUCCUUUCGGCUUCCCUUUAUUUCCCGGACCCUGACUCACCCGCAGAAUCUCAGCCUGUUAGAUCGAGUUUUAGGGUGAGGGACCUGAGGUUCAGUGGGAGGAGGUAACGAGGUCACACAGCAGUGACCUAAGGUCUCCUGCUCGCAGGUGCGCUGUGCUUUCUUCUAACUCGCUUCACCAGUUUGCUGCCUUCUCCAGUUAGAGGAGGGAGGCUUUCCAGUUAGGUGAAGGAGGGUGAGAGGUGGGGAGAAGGAACUGAAUGCCUUGCAACUUUCCCGAACCUCCCCUCCCGAGAGGAAGCCAAGGGUGGAAUUCUUCACUCUUCUUGUGGCAUUCCAGGGGACGAGGAGGGCUCGCGUGAUCAGUCCAGCUCGCGCCCCGCCGCGCCUCGCCGGGAUCUUGUCAGGUUUAAGGCUAUUUCAGCCGAGUAUUGUUUGAAUUUGGCGCCCUCUGCUGGCCAAAGGCAAUCUUCUGUUUCUCGUCUUCCGUCGGUCAAAGCCUAACCCUAACCCUAAAUUCGCUCUGGACGGGGAUCUUUGGAACUCUGCCUCGCAGGCAGAGGGGAAAGUACCUGGAGUGGGACCCCACGAUGCUUCCCCCCUUAUCCUUUCUGCAUACAUUAUGCUUCUACAGAAACUUUUCAAUUUCAUGCAAUCGAAGUGAUCGAUUUUAUUUUGUUGCCUUGUUUGGUUAAGAAUUCUUCCCUUAUUGGAGGCUUUAAAAUGACUGCGAUCUCUCUUCCUAUUAAAAAGAUAGUAUGAUCUUUA
This is a long non-coding RNA of Trichosurus vulpecula (common brushtail), 1304 nucleotides long. RefSeq lists it as uncharacterized. Lineage: Eukaryota; Metazoa; Chordata; Mammalia; Diprotodontia; Phalangeridae. The record is from RefSeq and is a predicted model, not a curated record. The transcript is spliced from 2 exons.